Molecule: ribosomal RNA, 2475 nt
Filed under: Stephostethus lardarius
Lineage: Eukaryota; Metazoa; Arthropoda; Insecta; Coleoptera; Latridiidae
Description: eukaryotic LSU rRNA
Rfam family: Eukaryotic large subunit ribosomal RNA
Source: RNAcentral
UACUAAGCGGAGGAAAAGAAACUAACUAGGAUUCCCUUAGUAGCGGCGAGCGAACAGGGAUGAGCCCAGCACUGAAUCCCGCGGUCGUAACCGGCCGCUGGGAAAUGUAGUGUUUGGAAGCGUCCGUUAUCCCGACGUCUGGCAGUGUGUCCAAGUCCAUCUUGAACGGGGCCACAACCCAUAGAGGGUGCCAGGCCCGUAGUGACCGUUGCCGAUGUCGGGAGGAUGUCUUCUGAGAGUCGGGUUGCUUGAGAGUGCAGCCCUAAGUGGGUGGUAAACUCCAUCUAAGGCUAAAUAUGACCACGAGACCGAUAGCGAACAAGUACCGUGAGGGAAAGUUGAAAAGAACUUUGAAGAGAGAGUUCAAUAGUACGUGAAACCGUUCAGGGGUAAACCUGAGAAACCCGAAAGGUCGAAGGGGGAGAUUCAUCGCGUCUCGCCUCGCCGGCACUAGGCGUUCGUGUGACGAGCGGCGUACGCGUCGCUUGCACCGUCUGCCCUCUGUGAACCGGUGGCGAACGUGUGCACUUCUCCCCUGGUAGGACGUCGCGAUCCGUUGGGUGUCGGUCUACGGCCCGUGGUGGAGCCCGUCCGGCGGUGGCUUGCCCCACUGUCUGUGCGGACCCACGGUGCUUCCUGGCCGGCUCGCCCGACGGUGUACAGAAAGGCGCAGGGCCGCGGCUCAGUUCGCGUCCAGCCCGCGGCAAGUAUGGUAGGUGUGUUGGCGAUCGGACCUGGUGCCGGUCCCGGCCCCUAUCGACUGCUAGCUGCGGUGCCCUUGGACAGACCCUGUUGAAACGCCAAUCUGCGACGCUAUUGCUUUGGGUACUUUCAGGACCCGUCUUGAAACACGGACCAAGGAGUCUAGCAUAUGCGCAAGUCAUUGGGACAUUACUAAACCCAAAGGCGUAAUGAAAGUAAAGGCUCGUCUUGUGCGAGCCGAGGGAAGAUGGGCGGUCGUUCCCAAUACGGCGGCCGUCCCGCACUCCCGGGGCGUCUCGUUCUCAUUGCGAGAAGAGGCGCACCAAGAGCGUAUAUGCUGGGACCCGAAAGAUGGUGAACUAUGCCUGAUCAGGACGAAGUCAGGGGAAACCCUGAUGGAGGUCCGUAGCGAUUCUGACGUGCAAAUCGAUCGUCGGAAUUGGGUAUAGGGGCGAAAGACCAAUCGAACCAUCUAGUAGCUGGUUCCCUCCGAAGUUUCCCUCAGGAUAGCUGGCACUCGUAGCAUACGAGUCUCAUCCGGUAAAGCGAAUGAUUAGAGGCAUUGGGGUCGAAACGACCUCAACCUAUUCUCAAACUUUAAAUGGGUGAGAUCUCCGGCCUGCUCGAACAUGAGGCCGUGAGAAUAACGGAUCAGAGUGCCAAGUGGGCCAUUUUUGGUAAGCAGAACUGGCGCUGUGGGAUGAACCAAACGCCGAGUUAAAGCGCCUAAAUCGACGCUUAUGGGAUACCAUGAAAGGCGUUGGUAACUUAAGACAGCAGGACGGUGGCCAUGGAAGUCGGAAUCCGCCAAGGAGUGUGUAACAACUCACCUGCCGAAGUUACUAGCCCUGAAAAUGGAUGGCGCUGAAGCGUCGUGCUUAUACUCGGCCGUCAGUGGCAUGUGCGGCAUGUGUCCGUUUCGGCGGCACGGCCAUGAAGCCCUGAUGAGUAGGAGGGUCGCGGCGGUGUGCGCAGAAGGGCUGGUCGUAGGACCGUCUGGAGCCGCCGUCGGUGCAGAUCUUGGUGGUAGUAGCAAAUACUCCAGCGAGGCCCUGGAGGACUGACGUGGAGAAGGGUUUCGUGUGAACAGCUGUUGCACACGAGUCAGUCGAUCCUAAGCCCUAGGCGAAAGCCGAUGUUGAUGUGGUGUAGUUUUCAUAACGACACAUAACAGGAGAAGCGCGCCAGAGUGCGUAGUCUUCUCUCUAACUGUCUGUGCGUGUGAGUAUUCGCAGUAGAGCGUCUUGCAUCUAUGAGUGUGCGGCUCGCCUUGCACUUGAGCAUACAUAUGUAUGUAGUGUGGCGUUUGCGCUUGGCUCGUGAGACGUUCAACAACAGCGAACAAAACUCACACGGCGGCGGUCGAAGGAGAGAGACUAACACGCACGUAUGCGCGUAUAGCUUGUUGUCGCUUGUUGAGUUCACACCCAUCGGGCGAAAGGGAAUCCGGUUCCUAUUCCGGAACCCGGCAGCGGAACCGUCAAUAAUUCGGGCCCUUGCAAAAGAGUUCGUCGGGGCAACCCAAAAGGACCCGGAGACGCCGUCGGGAGAUCCGGGAAGAGUUUUCUUUUCUGCAUGAGCGUUCGAGUUCCAUGGAAUCCUCUAGCAGGGAGAUAUGGUUUGGAACGCGAAGAGCACCGCAGUUGCGGCGGUGUCCGGAUCUUCCCCUCGGACCUUGAAAAUCCGGGAGAGGGCCACGUGGAGGCGUCGCGCCGGUUCGUACCCAUAUCCGCAGCAGGUCUCCAAGGUAAAGAGCCUCUAGUCGAUAGAAUA